UAACUAAUACAGAUUUACGCUGCUCAAAAUUAAAUGUCAUGGAGAUAAUGAGCCGCUACCAUGCUUAUGCAAGAGAAAACAUAAUAACCAACUGAAUAGUCAGCAAGUACCUACUCCUGUAACUCAAAAAAAAGAAACAGAAAACAUUUUUUAUGCAUACUCCACAUACUGUAGCUCAAGGUUAACAAACUUUCUAAAAUUGGAGGUAAAACCAUUAAGACAAAUACAAAAAAAUGUGAUG
This is a non-coding RNA of Hydra vulgaris (swiftwater hydra), 241 nucleotides long. The record is from RefSeq and is a predicted model, not a curated record. Lineage: Eukaryota; Metazoa; Cnidaria; Hydrozoa; Anthoathecata; Hydridae.